AACAUCUUAAGCUUUCACUAUGAAGAACAACAGUAAUAUUCUUUUACGGGUUAUACAGAAACUACCAAGAAUCUGUGUAUCAGCGCUGUGUUUGAGUGUUUCAACUUACCAAAACAAUUCAUACUAUUCUAUCAUCAAUAAUUGUAUAUAGACGUAACGAGCGUUUAGAGAAGAAAAUUUCAAUCCUGGUAUCUAUGAUGAGUUUAUCUAGAUCUAUAACCCAUAUUUAUAUCAAUUGUAGUUUGAAACAGAAAUACUUAGCACAACUUGUCAUUUGCAAAUACUACAGUGAAAAUUGAACUUAACAG
Molecule: long non-coding RNA, 308 nt
Filed under: Mytilus galloprovincialis (Mediterranean mussel)
Lineage: Eukaryota; Metazoa; Mollusca; Bivalvia; Mytilida; Mytilidae
Source: RNAcentral